AAAUACCGGACGUUAAUUAACCGCCAUGUGCUCUACGAGUAGAAGCGGGCCUCUUCUUGAAAGCUCGCACUUUGAGAUAAGCCUACGUCGGAUUAGCUUGUUGGUAGGGUAAAAGCCUACCAAGGCGACGAUCCGUAGCUGGUUUGAGAGGAUGAUCAGCCACACUGGGACUGAGACACGGCCCAG
This 186-nucleotide ribosomal RNA is filed under the name uncultured bacterium. Its description in RNAcentral is "partial 16S ribosomal RNA". It matches the Rfam family "Bacterial small subunit ribosomal RNA", at positions 164 to 334 of the family's 1533-position model. The record is from RNAcentral.